AUUGAACGCUGGCGGCAUGCCUUACACAUGCAAGUCGAACGGCAGCAUGCUCUAUCUUGCUAGAUUUAUGGCGGGUGACGGACGGGUGAGUAAUACAUCGGAACGUGCUCUGUUGGGGGGGAUAACUAGUCGCAAGAUUAGCUAAUACCUCAUACCACCUGCUGGUGGAUGUGGGGGACCGCAAUGCCUCGUGCGAUAGUGGCCGCCGAUGUCUGCUUAGCUAGUUGGUGAGGUAAAGGUUCACCAAGGCGACGAUCAGUAGCUGGUCUGAGAGGACGAUCAGCCACACGGGGACUGAGACAGGGACAAGAGUACUACGAGAGGCAGCAGACGGGAAUUUUAGACAACGGGCGAAAGCCUGAUACAGUAAUGCGGAGUGUGUGAAGAAGGCCUUGGGGUUGUAAAGACCUUUUGCGCGGAAAGAAAUGGUUCCGGCUAAUACCUGGCGUGGAUGACGGUAACGGAAGAAUAAGGACCGGCUAACUACGUG
This 490-nucleotide ribosomal RNA is filed under the name uncultured bacterium. RNAcentral describes it as "partial 16S ribosomal RNA". It matches the Rfam family "Bacterial small subunit ribosomal RNA", at positions 30 to 507 of the family's 1533-position model. The record is from RNAcentral.